UACGAAGGGGGCUAGCGUUGUUCGGAAUUACUGGGCGUAAAGCGCGCGCAGGCGGUCCUUCAAGUCAGAGGUGAAAGCCCAGAGCUCAACUCUGGAACGGCCUUUGAGACUAGAGGACUAGGGUACAGGAGAGGUGAGUGGAAUUCCGAGUGUAGAGGUGAAAUUCGUAGAUAUUCGGAAGAACACCAGUGGCGAAGGCGGCUCACUGGCCCGUUACCGACGCUCAGGCGCGACAGCGUGGGGAGCAAACAGG
This 253-nucleotide ribosomal RNA is filed under the name uncultured bacterium. RNAcentral's name for it is "partial 16S ribosomal RNA". It matches the Rfam family "Bacterial small subunit ribosomal RNA", at positions 524 to 776 of the family's 1533-position model. The record is from RNAcentral.